UAGGGAAUAUUGCGCAAUGGGCGAAAGCCUGACGCAGCGAUACCGCGUGAGUGAGGAAGGUCUUCGGAUUGUAAAGCUCUGUCAGGGUGGAAAAACGAUCGGUGGUCUAAUAGGCCAACGAAGUGAUGGUACAUCCAAAGGAAGCACCGGCCAACUUCGUGCCAGCAGCCGCGGUAAUACGAAGGGUGCUAGCGUUGUUCGGAUUUAUUGGGCGUAAAGCGCGCGCAGGCGGGUAGAUAAGUCAGGGGUGAAAUCUCGGGGCUCAACCCCGAAACUGCGCCUGAAACGGUUGAUCUAGAAUCUUGGAGAGGGAGGGAGAAUAUCGCAUGUAGGGGUAAAAUCCGUAGAGAUGCGAUGGAAUAUCGGAAGCGAAGGCGCCUUCCUGGACAAGUAUUGACGCUGAGGCGCGAGAGCGUGGGGAGCAAACA
This 428-nucleotide ribosomal RNA is filed under the name uncultured prokaryote. RNAcentral's name for it is "bacterial SSU rRNA". It matches the Rfam family "Bacterial small subunit ribosomal RNA", at positions 355 to 774 of the family's 1533-position model. The record is from RNAcentral.